This 100-nucleotide transfer RNA is filed under the name Vibrio metoecus. Its description in RNAcentral is "tRNA-Ser". It matches the Rfam family "tRNA". From Rfam's summary of the family: Transfer RNA (tRNA) molecules are approximately 80 nucleotides in length. Their secondary structure includes four short double-helical elements and three loops (D, anti-codon, and T loops). The record is from RNAcentral. Lineage: Bacteria; Pseudomonadati; Pseudomonadota; Gammaproteobacteria; Vibrionales; Vibrionaceae.
GGUGAGGUGGCCGAGAGGCUGAAGGCGCUCCCCUGCUAAGGGAGNNGGGAGUAUACGGUUUAUAGCCGUAUCGAGGGUUCGAAUCCCUCCUUCACCGCCA